GACGAACGCUGGCGGCGUGCUUAACACAUGCAAGUCGAACGGAAAGGCCCUGCUUUUGUGGGGUGCUCGAGUGGCGAACGGGUGAGUAACACGUGAGUAACCUGCCCUUGACUUUGGGAUAACUUCAGGAAACUGGGGCUAAUACCGGAUAGGAGCUCCUGCUGCGUGGUGGGGGUUGGAAAGUUUCGGCGGUUGGGGAUGGACUCGCGGCUUAUCAGCCUGUUGGUGGGGUAGUGGCUUACCAAGGCUUUGACGGGUAGCCGGCCUGAGAGGGUGACCGGCCACAUUGGGAAUGAGAUACGGCCCAGACUCCUACGGGAGGCAGCAGUGGGGAAUAUUGCACAAUGGGCGGAAGCCUGAUGCAGCAACGCCGCGUGCGGGAUGACGGCCUUCGGGUUGUAAACCGCUUUCGCCUGUGAUGAAGCGUGAGUGACGGUAAUGGGUAAAGAAGCACCGGCUAACUACGUG
Molecule: ribosomal RNA, 468 nt
Filed under: uncultured bacterium
Lineage: Bacteria
Description: partial 16S ribosomal RNA
Rfam family: Bacterial small subunit ribosomal RNA
Source: RNAcentral